RNAcentral lists this long non-coding RNA (222 nucleotides) under Cavia porcellus (domestic guinea pig). Its description in RNAcentral is "lncRNA (ENSCPOG00000037736.1)". Lineage: Eukaryota; Metazoa; Chordata; Mammalia; Rodentia; Caviidae. The record is from RNAcentral.
UAAAGAUGCUUGUUAUAGGAAAUAAGUGUAACCAAGGUUUUUUUUUAUUUUAGAGAAAAUCCAGAAAGAACCUUUGACUUGGUGUUGAAAGUGAAAUGUCAUGCCUCUGAAAAAGAAGAUCCUGUGGUGUUGUGGAAAUUCCCUGAGGACUUUGGAGAUCAGGUUUGGACAAUAUAAUUUUAAAAAGACAUUGAAAUUAGAGUACCAUGAUUAUUGUUACUA